This 496-nucleotide ribosomal RNA is filed under the name uncultured bacterium. RNAcentral describes it as "partial 16S ribosomal RNA". It matches the Rfam family "Bacterial small subunit ribosomal RNA", at positions 28 to 507 of the family's 1533-position model. The record is from RNAcentral.
GAUGAACGCUGGCGGCGUGCCUAAUACAUGCAAGUCGAGCGAACAGACGAGGAACUUGUUCCUUCGACGUUAGCGGCGGACGGGUGAGUAACACGUAGGUAACCUACCUAUAAGACUGGGAUAACUUCGGGAAACGGGAGCUAAUACCGGAUAAUAUCUUUAACCGCAAGGUUUGAGAGUGAAAGAUGCAUUUGCUAUACCUUAUGAAUGUCCCGCGUCGUUUUUAGUAGUUGGUGAGGUAAAGGCUCACCAAGGCAAAGAAACUUAGCCGACCUGAGAGGGUGAUCGCCCAAACGGGAACUGAGACACGCCCAAGCCCCCUACGGGAGGCACCAGAAGGGAAUCUUCGGCAAUGGGCGAAAGCCUGACGGAGCAACGCCGCGUGAGGGAUGAAGGUCUUCGGAUCGUAAAACUCUGUUAUUAGGGAAGAACAAACGUGUAAGUAACUGUGCACGUCGUGACGGUACCUAAUCAGAAAGCCACGGCUAACUACGUG